UCCUGAAAACUUGCAAUUAUUAUAAAGUCAUUUUAAAACCCUGUGUUACUUAAGUCAUUAUGGAAUAUGUGAUGGUAGAGUAUGAGUUUCUUAUUCUUGAUAUCAUUGUUGCUUGGAGAAUUUAUUUCAAAAUAUUCAAAAUUCUAGCUACCAUCCUCAGUGUUUUAUGCCUGAUAAGACUGGAAAUAUUAAUUAUGAUUAUAAAAGCUAUCUACUCUGUAUUGAGUUUGUUCAAAAUGAGUUAGACCCUUGUUGAGAGAUUUAUCAUGCUCCCAAGAUCAAGACAUUAUUCCAGAAAGAUUCACUCUUCCGAAGUAUUAUUGCAUUAGAGGCAUGGGCUAUGCAAAAAUAAAGAUAUUUCGAGGAAAUAAAAAGGAGCAAGUGCUCGACAACCUCGCAAAAAAAUGGACAAGUGUCCGGCAGUAGAAUUAGGGGUACCUCGGUAUCCACUUAAAAAAAAGAAGAAAAGAGAAAAAAAUGAUAGCCCAUGGUCCCUCUAAUAAGCAAUAUGCCAGCAAGAGUUGACAAAGAUUUUAAUUUCCAAAGUCUUUGAUCUAAGUGUAUGACAUUCCCCUCCUCGGAUCCCGUUUUGAUCAGGCAAUAAAUGCAAAGUAAGUAUGCUUGAGAAUUUUUGCAAAAUUAAAACAAACUCAGUGAGAUAUAUAUAUAAAAGAUAAUGAGUGAUCUGAGAGAACCUAUGAGGAUCAAAAGGUAUGCUAACUCUCUUUCAAAAAUAUACAAAAACUCCAAGUCACAGGAUUGAGAAGAAAGAAUCUUUACUCUUAACCAUAAACAUCCCUGACUAUGGUACACAGUGGAUAUUUAACACCCUGCAAUUAUAAAGAGAAUGUUUUAAAUGUUUACCCCAGAUAUUGUUCUUAACCAUCCUUUUCUCGAGGACGAGUAAAAGCCUAAGUAUGGGGGUAUUUGUUGACGGUUCUUAAGUAUCAAUUUUAAUUGUCAAAUAAACAAGAGAAAGGACCAAUAUGCAACCAACACCUAGAAUUAGGGUUUGAUCUGACAAAAUUCCACGAGUUUUGUUGUUUAUCUGUUUCUGCGGGGGUUAUCAGGAAAUAAGGAAGAAAGGCCCACAUGUCGGGAUUACAUAGAGAUAUCAACGCACCGCACGAUUUUCCACCAUCUAGAAGACUCCAGAAGCCACGGGAAGAAGACGGAGGCCGAAAGGGGCCAUGGCCAGGGCGCCCGCCCCUGGUGACCUGGGCGCCCGCCCCCCUCUGGAUGCCAAUCAGGACUCUCUUCGCUCGGGGUAUUCCACCGACCUAUUGGAUCAAGAAAAACAUAGUACCACCUCGCCUAUCGACCCAAAAACGCAUAGAAGGGGAGGACUAUAUAAGGAGACCCCCCUGGCCCCUGGAGAAGACAUGAAGAAAUUAUCAUAGAGACUGAGGGGUGCCCUCGAAGGAAAACCUCUUCUCUAAUUAAUAUUUCUUUUUAGGCUUAGUAACCAAUGUAAGGUAGAAAUAGAUCUUCUAGUUUCUACUAGAUUGAGAGAGAUAGAGUGGAGGUGUAGAUUGGAGGAAGCCCGGCCUGUCGGUGUCUACUCCAAGCUUGUACC
This 1576-nucleotide long non-coding RNA is filed under the name Sorghum bicolor (sorghum). RNAcentral describes it as "long non-coding RNA (SBIC_LNC016474)". Lineage: Eukaryota; Viridiplantae; Streptophyta; Magnoliopsida; Poales; Poaceae. The record is from RNAcentral.